UACGAGGGGGGCGAGCGUUGUUCGGAAUUAUUGGGCGUAAAGCGUGCGCAGGCGGUGAUGUAAGACAGAUGUGAAAUCCCCGGGCUCAACCUGGGAACUGCAUUUGUGACUGCAUCGCUGGAGUGCGGCAGAGGGGGAUGGAAUUCCGCGUGUAGCAGUGAAAUGCGUAGAUAUGCGGAGGAACACCGAUGGCGAAGGCAAUCCCCUGGGCCUGCACUGACGCUCAUGCACGAAAGCGUGGGGAGCAAACAGG
Molecule: ribosomal RNA, 253 nt
Filed under: uncultured bacterium
Lineage: Bacteria
Description: partial 16S ribosomal RNA
Rfam family: Bacterial small subunit ribosomal RNA
Source: RNAcentral